RNAcentral lists this long non-coding RNA (313 nucleotides) under Eutrema salsugineum. RNAcentral describes it as "long non-coding RNA (ESAL_LNC002172)". Lineage: Eukaryota; Viridiplantae; Streptophyta; Magnoliopsida; Brassicales; Brassicaceae. The record is from RNAcentral.
AAACCGGGUCGGUCCUGACGGUCAGAAGUUAGUGACCCCGCACACUUCUGGCCAAAUAUCUUUUGCGGGAAGACGUCUCAUGAUGAUAAGUAAUUAAAUAUAAAUUAUUUCAUUAUUAUUUCAUUUUUAAUUAUUGCUAUAAUUUAUUAAAUAUUUUUGACUAAUGUUUAUUAAUUGGUAGGCCGAGGAGAACGGAGGAGAACUUCCUCCAAUGACGAAGCUCUUCGAGACCACUCACCGGAAGAGGGACGGGAGCUUUGUCGACGCUCGGUCAGAGGAGAUCUACAAUGCCGCUAUUCAGCGGAUCGCCGAG